This 71-nucleotide transfer RNA is filed under the name Mus musculus (house mouse). It matches the Rfam family "tRNA". Rfam says of the family: Transfer RNA (tRNA) molecules are approximately 80 nucleotides in length. Their secondary structure includes four short double-helical elements and three loops (D, anti-codon, and T loops). The record is from Rfam by way of RNAcentral. Lineage: Eukaryota; Metazoa; Chordata; Mammalia; Rodentia; Muridae. RNAcentral also lists the same sequence under 1 other name.
GGGGCUGUAGCUUAGUGGUAGAGUGUUUGCCUAGCACACAUGAGGGCCUGGGUUCAAGCCCAGUACUCCCA